RNAcentral lists this unclassified non-coding RNA (251 nucleotides) under Podospora bulbillosa. RNAcentral describes it as "partial internal transcribed spacer region". The stretch from base 1 to 46 matches the Rfam family "Eukaryotic small subunit ribosomal RNA", at positions 1786 to 1831 of the family's 1831-position model. Lineage: Eukaryota; Fungi; Ascomycota; Sordariomycetes; Sordariales; Podosporaceae. The record is from RNAcentral.
AAGUCGUAACAAGGUCUCCGUUGGUGAACCAGCGGAGGGAUCAUUACAGAGUUGCAAAACUCCCCAAACCAUCGUGAACCUUUACCGCUAAACAGUUGCUUCGGCGGGUGGCCAGGGGCGCGCGCAAGCCCACCCCCGGCCGCCGAGCCCGCCGGAGGAAUCCAAAAAACCAUCGCUUUCAGUACCGGCCUCUCUGAGUUACUGUACUUUUAAUUAAGUCAAAACUUUCAACAACGGAUCUCUUGGUUCUG